This 84-nucleotide transfer RNA is filed under the name Helicobacter sp. RNAcentral's name for it is "tRNA-Leu". It matches the Rfam family "tRNA". From Rfam's summary of the family: Transfer RNA (tRNA) molecules are approximately 80 nucleotides in length. Their secondary structure includes four short double-helical elements and three loops (D, anti-codon, and T loops). Lineage: Bacteria; Pseudomonadati; Campylobacterota; Epsilonproteobacteria; Campylobacterales; Helicobacteraceae. The record is from RNAcentral. RNAcentral also lists the same sequence under 2 other names.
GCGCUGGUGGUGGAAUGGUAGACACACCAUCUUGAGGGGGUGGCGGGGAGACCCAUGCGAGUUCAAGUCUCGCUCAGCGCACCA